RNAcentral lists this ribosomal RNA (253 nucleotides) under uncultured bacterium. RNAcentral's name for it is "partial 16S ribosomal RNA". It matches the Rfam family "Bacterial small subunit ribosomal RNA", at positions 524 to 776 of the family's 1533-position model. The record is from RNAcentral.
UACGAAGGGGGCUAGCGUUGCUCGGAUUGACUGGGCGUAAAGGGCGCGUAGGCGGCGGACACAGUCAGACGUGAAAUUCCUGGGCUCAACCUGGGGGCUGCGUUUGAUACAUGUCUGCUUGAGUUCGGAAGAGGGUCGUGGAAUUCCCAGUGUAGAGGUGAAAUUCGUAGAUAUUGGGAAGAACACCGGUGGCGAAGGCGGCGACCUGGUCCGAUACUGACGCUGAGACGCGAAAGCGUGGGGAGCGAACAGG